CAUGCAAGUCGAACGAGGUCCAUCCGAUCUUCGGAUUGGUGAAGACCUAGUGGCGAACGGGUGCGUAACACGUGAGAAACCUGCCCCGGUCUCUGGAAUAACAGUUGGAAACGACCGCUAAUACCGGAUGCCGUCGGACCAUCGCACGGUGGACCGACGAAAGGGUUACCGGACUGGGAGGGUCUCGCGGCCUAUCAGCUUGUUGGUGAGGUAACGGCUCACCAAGGCAUCGACGGGUGGCUGGUCUGAGAGGAUGAUCAGCCACACUGGGACUGAGACACGGCCCAGACUCCUACGGGAGGCAGCAGUAGGGAAUAUUGCACAAUGGGCGAAAGCCUGAUGCAGCAACGCCGCGUGCGGGAAGAAGGCCCUAGGGUUGUAAACCGCUUUCAGCAGGGAAGAAAAUGACGGUACCUGCAGAAGAAGGUGCGGCCAACUACGUGCCAGCAGCCGCGGUGACACGUAGGCACCAAGCGUUGUCCGGAUUUAUUGGGCGUAAAGAGCUCGUAGGCGGUUCAGUUAGUCGGGUGUGAAAACUCUGGGCUCAACCCAGAGAGGCCACUCGAUACUGCUGUGACUAGAGUGCGGUAGGGGAGCGGG
Molecule: ribosomal RNA, 600 nt
Filed under: uncultured Actinomycetes bacterium
Lineage: Bacteria; Bacillati; Actinomycetota; Actinomycetes
Description: bacterial SSU rRNA
Rfam family: Bacterial small subunit ribosomal RNA
Source: RNAcentral